UAGUAGCGGCGAGCGAAGCGGGAAGAGCUCAAAUUUAUAAUCUGGCACUUUCAGUGUCCGAGUUGUAAUCUCUAGAAGUGUUUUCCGCAUUGGACCGCACACAAGUCUGUUGGAAUACAGCGGCACAGUGGUGAGACCCCCGUAUACGGUGCGGAUGCCCAAUGCUUUGUGAUACACUUUCGAAGAGUCGAGUUGUUUGGGAAUGCAGCUCAAAUUGGGUGGUAAAUUCCAUCUAAAGCUAAAUAUUGGCGAGAGACCGAUAGCGAACAAGUACCGUGAGGGAAAGAUGAAAAGCACUUUGGAAAGAGAGUUAACAGUACGUGAAAUUGUUGGAAGGGAAACGCUUGAAGUCAGACUUGCUAUUCGGGGCUUGCUCCGAGUUGCAGGCCAGCAUCAGUUUUCUGGGGUGGAAAAUCACGGUUAGAAGGUAGCAACUCCGGUUGUGUUAUAGCUUUCCGUUGGAUACAUCCUGGGGGACUGAGGAACGCAGUGUGCUUUUAGCAGGAGCUUCGGCUUCAUCACACUUAGGAUGCUGGUGGAAUGGCUUUAAACGACCCGUCU
Molecule: ribosomal RNA, 561 nt
Filed under: uncultured Sporobolomyces
Lineage: Eukaryota; Fungi; Basidiomycota
Description: eukaryotic LSU rRNA
Rfam family: Eukaryotic large subunit ribosomal RNA
Source: RNAcentral